This 598-nucleotide ribosomal RNA is filed under the name Bacillus sp. CH59a_2C. RNAcentral describes it as "bacterial SSU rRNA". It matches the Rfam family "Bacterial small subunit ribosomal RNA", at positions 57 to 632 of the family's 1533-position model. Lineage: Bacteria; Bacillati; Bacillota; Bacilli; Caryophanales; Bacillaceae. The record is from RNAcentral.
GCAAGUCGAGCGAAUGGAUUGAGAGCUUGCUCUCAAGAAGUUAGCGGCGGACGGGUGAGUAACACGUGGGUAACCUGCCCAUAAGACUGGGAUAACUCCNGGGAAACCGGGGGCUAAUACCGAGAUAACAUUUUGAACCGCAUGGUUCGAAAUUGAAAGGCGGCUUCGGCUGUCACUUAUGGAUGGACCCGCGUCGCAUUAGCUAGUUGGUGAGGUAACGGCUCACCAAGGCAACGAUGCGUAGCCGACCUGAGAGGGUGAUCGGCCACACUGGGACUGAGACACGGCCCAGACUCCUACGGGAGGCAGCAGUAGGGAAUCUUCCGCAAUGGACGAAAGUCUGACGGAGCAACGCCGCGUGAGUGAUGAAGGCUUUCGGGUCGUAAAACUCUGUUGUUAGGGAAGAACAAGUGCUAGUUGAAUAAGCUGGCACCUUGACGGUACCUAACCAGAAAGCCACGGCUAACUACGUGCCAGCAGCCGCGGUAAUACGUAGGUGGCAAGCGUUAUCCGGAAUUAUUGGGCGUAAAGCGCGCGCAGGUGGUUUCUUAAGUCUGAUGUGAAAGCCCACGGCUCAACCGUGGAGGGUCAUUGGAAA